UUUUUUUUUUUGCAGGUGAGCGGAAGUAUGAUAUGACCAAACAAAAGUCCAACUGCAAUAUGAUUAAUGGUGAGGUGGUGAAAUAGAUUCUAGAACAUAAUGUUAAUGUAUGCGCCAUUAAUUUUGAUAUAUGAUCCUUCAUGAAAAUUUCUGUUUCGUGAUGGAUGUGAGAAGGAAUAUUAUAGGACGAAGCAUGAAAUCUUAAUCAUCAAAUUCGAAAACAUAUAUACACACGUGCAUGCAUCGCGAUCAGGCGUGUACAGAGAGAACACAUGGUUAAGGUUCGGAUUACAACGGUUGACAUUAUGGACGUGAAAAAUAAAUCACGCGGAAAAGAGUCAAGCAAAGCACCCAUUGAAACAAGAACGACAAUGAAAGGCAUCCCAUGAGAUAGUUAAAUUAUACGCAAAAAUGUCCCCUGUACAUAAUUUUUUUACUGGAUGGAUAAAAUGCACCGCUCCUUUUAAGUUCAUCUGGAAUAUUACUUUAUUUAUAUAAGAAAAAAUGGAUCGCCCUACAAAAAAAGAUAAUAGAAAAUUUGGAGUAAAAGGUUAGAAAUAGUUAAUUGUACAUGGCAAGCUACUUAUAUGGUCGUCUGUGAUUAAAUUUGUUUUGUUUUCUAAAAUCUCUCUGCGACGCUGAUGAACAAAUAUAUUGUUUAACUGAAGUGUAUAUUGAGAAUUCUCAUUUGGUAGACAAAGCAAAAAAAAUAUCUGCGCAUACAUGAAAUUUUGCAUAAGACUUAUUAGGAAAUAUAAUUUUGUUUUUAUCCACUGUAUAAACGGAAUAUCUCUAUUUAUAUUCACAAUUUUAAAAUUUUCAAAAAAUGCAAUUUAAAUUAUCUGUUCAUAAUCCCUGAGAAAGACGCAGCCUACAUGCAGACCAAGAUGUUCAUUCAGUGUUGUUUAAUUACACAUUGAUAGUCAAUUGUAGAAGUUAGACACGAUCUCAAGAGAACUACCACAUGGCAUACGUGCUGAGAAAUCAAAAUUUGAUAAACAAUAAAAUUUCGUAAGAAUAAGCCACAUGAAAGAAAUGUGUUCCAUUUGAAAUAACGACUAUCAAGGCCUAUUUUAAGCUUUCUAAAAUCAAUAAGCAAUUUUUAUAAUGCAAUGACAAUAUUUGUGUACAAUUAAUCUAUAUUUAGAUUUAAAUCUUAUCGCUGAACAUUUAAAAAGCAAGGUAAGGGUCGAUAGAAUGGGAUGAAAGGUGUGAAAGAGAGGGAAAACUAGACCUUAUGGUAAAAGACUAUAGUUUUGCAUUGUGAGACCCAUACCAAUUUGCGUUUUAGGGACCAAAGCCACCCACAAUGUCAUCUGUACAUUCAUUUGCCCUCUUUUAGUAGUUGAAGAUACUGGUCGCUGCUCCAACAACAAAACUCAGAAAUAGUGAAACUUUUUUUGAGACGUAAAUACGGAAACUUUUCAACCAUCUAUAUGAGGGAAUUCAUAAAAUAAAUUGGAUUUUAAAUUUACAGAAAUCACAGGAUUAUUUACGAAAGGACAAACAUUGAACCUAAAAUCAAGCACAACUAAUGUAGCUACUAAAAACUCAUGCAUAUAUGAAGUACAAAAAUAUUAAUUUUACACUCAAUAAAUGUGAAAUAUAAUGUGACAAAUAUAAAAACAUGACCGCGCAUUUGCGCAGGUCACCCUGCUAGUUUAUUAUAUACACGAGCAGGAAGGAAAGUCACAUAUUGUUGCAACUUUCUUCCACAACCGCACUCCUCAUAAAUAUGUUUGCGUUCAACUAUUUAGGAAAAUGGUGUUGCUUUGACUAGGGAGAUUACACACCUAUUCCUCUAUGAUUCACCAUCUAUAUUUUAACAAGGUUUGUGUCGUGGAAUUGUCACGGCAGAUGUCCUAGUGUGAGGACUUAGUCGUGAGGCCAACACAUCGAUCUUUGUAGUAACUUGAGAGGGGUUGUGUGGAAUCGAGAGACGCAACACAAGACAAGGAUUUAGACAGCUUCAGGUCCCGGGAAACAUCGUCCGGUAAUAUCCCUACAUGUUGUUUGUGGCUAGAUCUCAUUAUGCUCAUGAGAGAGUCGCUGCAUAAGCCGGCUCCCCCUUUGUGUCUAGCCCUAGAGAUUGUUUCUUGUUGCUUGUCACUCUUUGGGGAGCUCUGCCCCUCCUUACAUAAGUUGAAGGGGCGGGUUACAUGACUAGUCCUAGUAGGAUUAGGAUUACUCUAUUACAAGUAGAGUCCUAGGCUUGCUUCCUUUGUAGGAGAAUAUUCCUUAUGUCUUUCAUCGUAAGCCGGCCCACCUUUAUAUGAACCGGCAUACUGGGCCUUGGGCCUUGUCGUCCGUCUGAAGCACCCGCGGGUCACCAAUGAGUCUUCAGGCUCAUGAGUCGUCACACCAGUGAGCCGCCAGACACGUGAGUCGCCAAUUCUCUGGUGGUUACCAAUGAAACAUCAACUCCGGCCGGGUCAUAUAUCCGGCUGGGUCAUACCGCGGGGUAUAUCCCCGACAUUAGCCCCGAGUUUAAAUUGGAUUUAUCCAUGUUAAACUGAUCUGCAAUAUAAACACAAGAGCAAAUUUGACAGGUUGUGCUCCGGGUUAAAUAUUCUUGUAAGCCGGCACCUGACCAUCCUGAAGUCCUUGUUUAUUUCCUCCUUCUAGAAAAUCUGGGUCAAUAGGCCGGCUUCAUAAUCAACUUGCUUGUAGAAGAAAUAUUGUAAAUAAAGAAUCCCUUUGAGUCGGUCUUCAAUGCUCUGACUUGACAAAAAUAUUGGUCUUCCAAUAUUCAACUGAUAUUCAGCCAGCUUGAAGAUGUAGAACUUGCCGAUUUAUGAUUGCCAAAAUUGUCGGGUUAUAAACAAAUGAUGUUGGGUCAUGUAAUUGUUGCUGAUGCCGAGUUAAUCUUAUGAUGACGCCAGGUCAUAAUUGUUGCCGACGCGGGUCAUAAUUAUUGAUGACACCAGGCUAUGAUUGUUGCAGACACCGGGUCAUAAUGAUUGGUGACGCCGGGUCAAGCUGGUUUGCUCAAAACAGAGAAUUCGAAAGUAUUUCUCCUUAUAUCCGUGUUACCUGUAGCCCCCAAGUGUCGGGUUGUCAUGCUUACAUCAACCUGGGACUUGUAACUGUCUUAUGCUCACAAAAACUUCAACCGGUGUAGCCCCCAAGGGCCGGGUCAUUAUGAUAAUGAGCAGGGACUUUGUAAAUAUGAUCAUGUAAACUUGAGCAGCAACGUGUAGCCCCUAAGGGCCGGCUCAGUAAGAUAUUACUGAGAUGGGACUUUGUAUAUUCUUCAUUGAUAAUAACAUCAUAUGAUGUAAUCUCCACCAUGGGGCUUGAACCCACGUUCACAAGGUUAAGAGCUUUGUACUCUCUACCAACUGAGUAGUGGAUCUUUCAAUAUAAUGGACUGAGGCUUGUGUACCUUGAAUUUUUUACAGGAGCAAUUGGUAGCCCCCAAGGGCCGGCUCAUUACAAUGGGAUGAGUCGGGUCUGUUGGGGAACGUAACAGAAAUUCAAAAUUUUCUACGCAUUACCAAGAUCAAUCUACGGAGUAAUCUAGCAACGAGGGGAAGGAGAGUGCAUCUACAUACCCUUGUAGAUCGCUACGCGGAAGCGUUCAAGAGAACGGGGUUGAUGGAGUCGUACUCGUCGUGAUCCAAAUCACCGAUGAUCCUAGUGCCGAACGGACGGCACCUCCGUGUUCAACACACGUACAGCCCGGUGACGUCUCCCAUGCCUUGAUCCAGCAAGGAGAGAGGGAGAGGUUGAGGAAGACUCCAUCCAGCAGCAGCACAACGGCGUGGUGGUGAUGGAGGAGCGUGGCACUCCAGCAGGGCUUCGCUAAGCACCGCAAGAGACGAGGGGGAGAGGGGUAGAGCUGCACCAAGAAGAGAUCAAAUCACGUGUUGGGCAGCCCCUAGGCCUCAAGUAUAUAUAGGGGAAGGGGAGGGGGCUGCGCCCCCUCUAGGGUUCCCACCCCAAGGGGUGCGGCAGCCCCAGAUCCCAUCUGAGGGAGGCGGCCAAGGGGGGAGGAGAGGGAGGCGCAGGGAGCAUGGGCCUUAGGGCCCAUCUGCCCUUAGGGUUUGCCCCCUUUCCUCUUCCCUUGCGCCUUGGGCCUUGGUGGGGGGUGCACCAGCCCACCUGGGGCUGGUCCCCUCCCACACUUGGCCCAUGCAGCCCUCCGGGGCUUGUGGCCCCACUUGGUGGACCCCCGGGACCCUCCCGGUGGUCCCAGUACGUUACCGAUAAAACCCGAAACUUUUCCCGUGACCAAAACAGGACUUCCCAUAUAUAAAUCUUUACCUCCGGACCAUUCCGGAACUCCUCGUGACGUCCGGGAUCUCAUCCGGGACUCCGAACAACAUUCGGUAACCACAUACAAACUUCCUUUAUAACCCUAGCGGGAUCGAACCUUAAGUCUGUAGACCCUACGGGUUCGGGAACCAUGCAGACAUGACCGAGACGUUCUCCGGUCAAUAACCAACAGCGGGAUCUGGAUACCCAUGUUGACUCCCACAUGUUCCACGAUGAUCUCAUCGGAUGAACCACGAUGUCAAGGACUUAAUCAAUCCCGUAUACAAUCCCCUUUGUCUAGCGGUAUGAUACUUGCCCGAGAUUCGAUCGUCGGUAUCCCGAUACCUUGUUCAAUCUCGUUACCGGCAAGUCUCUUUACUUGUUCUGUAACACAUCAUCCCGUGAUCAACUCCUUGAUCACAUUGUGCACAUUAUGAUGAUGUCCUAUCGAGUGGGCCCAGAGAUACCUCUCCGUCACACGGAGUGACAAAUCCCAGUCUCGAUUCGUGCCAACCCAACAGACACUUUCGGAGAUACCCGUAGUGCACCUUUAUAGUCACCCAGUUACGUUGUGACGUUUGGCACACCCAAAGCACUCCUACGGUAUCCGGGAGUUGCACAAUCCCAUGGUCUAAGGAAAUGAUACUUGACAUUAGAAAAGCUUUAGCAUACGAACUACACGAUCUUUGUGCUAGGCUUAGGAUUGGGUCUUGUCCAUCACAUCAUUCUCCUAAUGAUGUGAUCCCGUUAUCAACGACAUCCAAUGUCCAUGGUCAGGAAACCGUAACCAUCUAUUGAUCAACGAGCUAGUCAACUAGAGGCUUACUAGGGACAUGGUGUUGUCUAUGUAUCCACACAUGUAUCUGAGUUUCCUAUCAAUACAAUUAUAGCAUGGAUAAUAAACGAUUAUCAUGAACAAGGAAAUAUAAUAAUAAUCAAUUUAUUAUUGCCUCUAGGGCAUAUUUCCAACAGUCUCCCACUUGCACUAGAGUCAAUAAUCCAGUUCACAUCGAUAUGUGAUUAAGACUCAAGGUCACAUCCCCAUGUGACUAACCCCCAAAGAGUUCUGGGUUUGAUCAUGUUAUGCUUGUGAGAGAGGUUAUAGUCAAUGGGUCUGAAACAUUCAGAUCCGUAUGUACUUCGCAAAUUUCUAUGUCAUCUUGUGGAUGCAACUACUACGCUACAUUUGGAGCUAUUCCAAAUAACUGUUCUACUAUACGAAUCCAGUUUACUACUCAGAAUAAUCUGGAUUAGUGUCAAAGUUUGCAUCGGCGUAACCCUUUACGACGAACUCUUUUACCACUUCCAUAAUCGAGAAAAUUCCUUAGUCCACUAGUUACUAAGGAUAACUUCGACUACUGUCCUGUGGUCCAUUCUUGGAUCACUCUUGUACCCCUUGACUGACUCAUGGCAAGGCACAUUUCAGGUGCGGUACACAGCAUAGCAUACUGUAGAGCCUAUGUCUUAAGCAUAGGGGACGACCUUCGUCCUUUCUCUCUAUUAUGUCGUGGUCGAGCUUUAAGUAUUAACUUCAUACCUUACAACUCAGGCAAGAACUCCUUCUUUGACUCAUCCAUCUUGAACACCUUCAAGAUCAUGUCAAGGUAUGUGCUCAUUUGAAAGUACCAUUAAGCAUUUUGAUCUAUCCUUAUAGAUCUUGAUGCUCAAUGUUCAAGUAGCUUAAUCCAGGCUUUCCAUUGAAAAACACUUUCCAGAUAACCCUAUAUGCUUUCCAGAAAUUCUACAUCAUUUCUGAUCAACAAUAUGUCAACAACAUAUACUCAUCAGAAAUUCUAUAGUGCUCCCACUCACUUCUUUGGAAAUACAAGUUUCUCAUAAACUUUGUAUAAACCCAAAAUCUUUGAUCAUCUCAUCAAAGCGUACAUUCCAACUCCGAGAUGCUUACUCCAGUCCUUAGAAGGAUUGCUGGAGCUUUGCAUACUUAUUAGCAUCUUUCAGGAUUGACAAAACCUUCCGGUUGUAUCACAUACAACCUUUCCUCAAUAAAAUCGUCGAGGAAACAAUGUUUUGACAUCCUAUCUGCAAGAUUUCAUAAAUAAUGCAGUAAUCGCUAAUAUAAUUCCAACAGACUCUUAGCAUCGCUACGAGUGAGAAAGUCUCAUCAUAGUAAACUCCUUGAACUUGUCGGAAAAAAAAAUCUUAACGACAAGUCGAGCUUUCUUAAUGGUGAUACUUACCAUCAUUGUCCGUCUUCCUUUUAAAAUCCAUAUGUACCUAACAGCCUUACAACCAUCAAGUAGUUCUUCCAAAGUCUACACUUUGUUUUCAUAUAUGGAUCCUCUCUCGGAUUAUAUGGCCUCGAGCCAUUUAUCGGAAUCCAGGCCCACCACCGGUUCUCCAUAGCUCAUAGGUUCAUUGUUGUCUAGCAACAUGACUUCCAAGACAGGAUUACGUACCACUAAGUAGUACGCUUCCUUGUCAUCCCAUGAGGUUUGGUAGUGACUUGAUCUGAAGUUUCAUGAUCACUAUCAUAAGCUUCCACUUCAAUUGGUGUAGGUGCCACAGGAACAACUCCCUGUGCCCUUUCACACACUAGUUGAAGAGACGGUUUAAUAACCUCAUCAAGUCUCCACCAUCCUCCCACUCAAUUCUUUCGAGAGAAACUUUUCCUCGAGAAAGGACCCGAUUCUAGAAACAAUCCCUUAUUGCUUUCGGAUCUGAGACAGGAGGUAUACCCAACUGUUUUGGGUGUCCUAUGAAGAUGCAUUUAUCCGCUUUGGGUUCGAGCUUAUCAGCCUGAAACUUUUUCACAUAAGCGUCGCAGCCCCAAACUUUUAAGAAAUGACAGCUUAGGUUUCUCUAAACCAUAGUUCAUACGGUGUCAUCUCAUCGGAAUAACGUGGUGCCCUCUUUAAAGUGAAUGUGGUUGUCUCUAAUGCCUAACCCAUAAACUAUCGUGGUAAUUCGAUAAGAGACAUCAUGGUAUGCAUCAUAUCCAAUAGAGUGCAGUUAUGAUGUUCGGACACACCAUCACACUAUGGUGUUCCAGGCUGUAUUAGUUGUGAAACAAUUUCCACAAUGUCUUAAUUCUGUGCCAAACUCGUAAUUCAGAUAUUCAUCUCUAUGAUCAUAUCAUAGAUCUUCUAUCCUCUUGUCACGACGAUCUUUCAACUUCACCCUGAAUUACUUGAACCUUUCAAUAAUUCAGACUCGUGAUUCAUCAAGUAAAUAUACUCAACAUCUACUCAAAUCAUUUGUGAAGUAAGAACAUAACGAUAUCCACUACACGCCUCAGCACUCAUUGGACUGCACACAUCAAAAUGCAUUACUUCCAACAAGUUAUUUCUAGUUCCAUUUUACUGAAAACGAGGCUUUCAGUCAUCUUGCCCAUGUGGUAUGAUUUGCAUGUCUCAAGUGAUUCAAAAUCAAGUGAGUCCAAAUGGUCCAUUUGCAUGGAGUUUCUUUAUGCAUAUACACCAAUAGACAUGGUUCGCAUGUCUCAAACUUUUCAAAAAUGAGUGAGUCCAAAGAUCCAUCUACAUGGAGCUUCUUCAUGCGUUUUAUAACGAUAUGACUUAAGUGGCAGUGCCACAAGUAGGUGGUACUAUCAUUACUAUCUUAUAUCUUUUGGCAUGAACAUGUGUAUCACUACAAUCGAGAUUCAAUAAACCAUUCAUUUUAGGUGCAAGACCAUUGAAGGUAUUAUUCAAAUAAACAGAGUAACCAUUAUUCUCCUUAAAUGAAUAACCGUAUUGUGAUAGACAUAAUCCAAUCAUGUCUAUGCUCAACGCAAGCACCAAAUAACAAUUAUUUAGGUUUAACACCAAUCUCGAUGGUAGAGGGAGCGUGUGAUGCUUGAUCAUAUCAACAUUGGAAAUACUUCCAACACAUAUCGUCAGCUCACCUUUAGCUAGUCUCCGUUUAUUCCGUAGCUUUUAUUUCGAGUUACUAACACUUAGCAACCGAAACGGUAUCUAAUACCCUGGUGCUACUAGGAGUACUAGUAAAGUACACAUCAACACAAUGUAUAUCCAAUAUACUUCUAUCGACCUUGUCAGCCUUCUAAUCUACCAAGUAUCUAGGGUAAUUCUGCUCUAGUGGCUAUUCCCCUUAUUACAGAAGCACUUAGUCUCGGGUUUGGGUUCAACCUUGGGUUUCUUCACUAGAGCAGCAGCUGAAUUGCCGUUUCAUGAAGUAUCCCUUCUUGCCCUUGCCCUUCUUGAAACUAGUGGUUUCACCAACCAUCAACAAUUGAUGCUCCUUCUUGAUUUCUACUUUUGUCGUGUCAAACAUCGCGAAUAUCUCAAAGAUCAUCAUAUAUGUCCUUGAUAUGUUAUAGUUCAUCACGAAGCUCUAGCGGCUUGGUGGUAAUGACUUCGAAGAAACAUCACUGUCUCAUCUGGAAGAUCAACUCCCACUUGAUUCAAAUGAUUGUUGUACUCAGACAAUCUGAGCAUAAGCUCAACAAUUGAGCUUUUCUCCCUUAGUUUGUACGCUAAGAAAAUCGUCGGAGGUCUUAUACCUCGUGACGUGGGCACGAGGCUGAAAUCCCAAUUUCAGCCCUCAAAACAUCUCAUAUGUUUCACGACGUUUCAAAACGUCUUUGGUUCCUCAAUUCUAAACCGUUUAACUGAACUAUCACGUAGUUAUCAAAAUGUGUAUGUCAGAUGUUCGCAACAUCCACAGACAAUGUUCGAGGUUCAGCACACUGAGCGGUGCAUUAAGGACAUAAGCCUUCUAUGAAGCAAUGAGGACAAUCCUCAGUUUACGGACCUAGUCCGCAUAAUUGCUACUAUCAACUUUCAACUAAAUUUUCUCUAGGAACAUAAUUAAACAGUAGAACUGAAGCGUGAGCUACGACAUAAUUUGCGAAGACCUUUUGACUAUGUUCAGGAUAAUUAAGUUCAUCUUAUGAACUCCCACUCAGAUAGACAUCCCUCUAGUCAUCUAAGUGAUUACAUGAUCUGAGUCAACUAGGCCGUGUCCGAUCAUCACGUGAGACGGAAUAGUCAACAUCGGUGAACAUCUUCAUGUUAAUCGUAUCUACCAUACGACUCAUGCUCGACCUUUCGGUCUUCUGUGUUCCGAGGCCAUGUCUGUACAUGCUAGGCUCGUCAAGUCAACCUAAGUGUUUCGCAUGUGUUCCGAGGCCAUGUCUGUACAUGCUAGGCUCGUCAACACCCGUUGUAUUCGAACGUAAGAAUCUAUACACCCGAUCAUCACGUGGUGCUUUGAAACGACGAACUUUCACAACGGUGCACAGUUAGGGGGAACACUUUCUUGAAAUUUUAAUGAGGGAUCAUCUUAUUUACUACCGUCGUUCUAAGCAAAUAAGAUGUACAAACAUGAUAAACAUCACAUGCAAUCAAAUAGUGACAUGAUAUGGCCAAUAUCAUAUUGCUCCUUUUGAUCUCCAUCUUCGGGGCUCCAUGAUCAUCAUCGUCACCGGCAUGACACCAUGAUCUCCAUCAUCAUGAUCUCCAUCAUUGUGUCUUCAUGAAGUUGCCUCGCCAACUAUUACUUCUACUACUACAGCUAACGGUUAGCAAUAAAGUAAAGUAAUUACAUGACGUUUAUGUUGACACACAGGUCAUAAAUAAAUUAAGACAACUCCUAUGGCUCCUGCCGGUUGUCAUACUCAUCGACAUGCAAGUCGUGAUUCCUAUUACAAGAACAUGAUCAUCUCAUACAUCACAUAUAUCAUUCAUCACAUCCUUUGGCCAUAUCACAUCACAUAGCAUACCCUGCAAAAACAAGUUAGACGUCCUCUAAUUGUUGUUUGCAUGUUUUACGUGGCUGCUAUGGGUUUCUAGCAAGAACGUUUCUUACCUACGCAAAGACCACAACGUGAUAUGCCAAUUGCUAUUUACCCUUCAUAAGGACCCUUUUCAUCGAAUCCGAUCCGACUAAAGUGGGAGAGACAGACACCCACCAGCCACCUUAUGCAACUAGUGAAUGUCAGUCGGUGGAACCGGUCUCACGUAAGCGUACGUGUAAGGUUGGUCCGGGCCGCUUCAUCCCACAAUGCCGCCGAAUCAAGAUUGGACUAGUAAUGAUAAGCAUAUUGAACAAAAUCAAUGCCCACAACUACUUUGUGUUCUACUCAUGCAUAGAAUCUAUGCAAUAGACCUAGCUCAUGAUGCCACUGUUGGGGAACAUAGCAGAAAUUCAAAAUUUUCUACGCAUCACCAAGAUCAAUCUACGGAGUAAUCUAGCAACGAGGGGAAGGAGAGUGCAUCUACAUACCCUUGUAGAUCGCUACGCGGAAGCGUUCAAGAGAACAGGGUUGAUGGAGUCGUACUCGUCGUGAUCCAAAUCACCGAUGAUCCUAGUGCCGAACGGACGGCACCUCCGUGUUCAACACACGUACAGCCCGGUGACGUCUCCCAUGCCUUGACCCAGCAAGGAGAGAGGGAGAGGUUGAGGAAGACUCCAUCCAGCAGCAGCACAACAGCGUGAUGGUGAUGGAGGAGCGUAGCACUCCAGCAGGGCUUCGCCAAGCACCGCAAGAGACGAGGAGGGAGAGGGGUAGAGCUGCACCAAGAAGAGAUCAAAUCGCGUGUUGGGCAGCCCCUAGGCCUCAAGUAUAUAUAGGGGAAGGGGAGGGGGCUGCGCCCCCUCUAGGGUUCCCACCCCAAGGGGUGCGGCAGCCCCAGAUCCCAUCUGAGGGAGGCGGCCAAGGGGGGAGGAGAGGGAGGCACAGGGAGCAUGGGCCUUAGGGCCCAUCUGCCCUUAGGGUUUGCCCCCUUUCCUCUCCCCUUGCGCCUUGGGCCUUGGUGGGGGGCGCACCAGCCCACCUGGGGCUGGUCCCCUCCCACACUUGGCCCAUGCAGCCCUCCGGGGCUUGUGGCCCCACUUGGUGGACCCCCGGGACCCUCCCGGUGGUCCCGGUACGUUACCAAUAAAACCCGAAACUUUUCCGGUGACCAAAAUAGGACUUCCCAUAUAUAAAUCUUUACCUCCGGACCAUUCCGGAACUCCUCGUGACGUCCGGGAUCUCAUCCGGGACUCCGAACAACAUUCGGUAACCACAUACAAACUUCCUUUAUAACCCUAGCGUCAUCAAACCUUAAGUGUGUAGACCCUACGGGUUCGGGAACCAUGCAGACAUGACCGAGACGUUCUCCGGUCAAUAACCAACAGCGGGAUCUGGGUACCCAUGUUGGCUCCCACAUGUUCCACGAUGAUCUCAUCAGAUGAACCACGAUGUCAAGGACUUAAUCAAUCCCGUAUACAAUCCCCUUUGUCUAGCGGUAUGAUACUUGCCCGAGAUUCGAUCGUCGGUAUCCCGAUACCUUGUUCAAUCUCGUUACCGGCAAGUCUCUUUACUCGUUCUGUAACACAUCAUCCCGUGAUCAACUCCUUGAUCACAUUGUGCACAUUAUGAUGAUGUCCUACCGAGUGGGCCCAGAGAUACCUCUCCGUCACACGGAGUGACAAAUCCCAGUCUCGAUUCGUGCCAACCCAACAGACACUUUCGGAGAUACCCGUAGUGCACCUUUAUAGUCACCCAGUUACGUUGUGACGUUUGGCACACCCAAAGCACUCCUACGGUAUCCGGGAGUUGCACAAUCCCAUGGUCUAAGGAAAUGAUACUUGACAUUAGAAAAGCUUUAGCAUACGAACUACACGAUCUUUGUGCUAGGCUUAGGAUUGGGUCUUGUCCAUCACAUCAUUCUCCUAAUGAUGUGAUCCCGUUAUCAACGACAUCCAAUGUCCAUAGUCAGGAAACCGUAACCAUCUAUUGAUCAACGAGCUAGUCAACUAGAGGCUUACUAGGGACAUGGUGUUGUCUAUGUAUCCACACAUGUAUCUGAGUUUCCUAUCAAUACAAUUAUAGCAUGGAUAAUAAACGAUUAUCAUGAACAAGGAAAUAUAAUAAUAAUCAAUUUAUUAUUGCCUCUAGGGCAUAUUUCCAACAGGGUCUUCAAUAAGUUGAUCAAAAAAUGACUUUACAUUAGCCCCCAAGUGCCAUGGUGCAUGCUGGCAGUGACAUGGGACUUGCAUAUUUGAUGGAAUCUUAAUUUGAAUAAUGUAGCCCCCAAGUGCCGGGUCAUAAGCCUGCAGCGACUCGGGACUAUUCCCUCCAUUGUAAAAAUAAAUCAUGUCCAUUAACAAAAUAAUAACCAUUGCGCUGAAGCGACUUUGAAGACCUCCAUCAUAAUAUUGGCUAUUGAUAACCAUAAUAAAAAUCUAGCCAUGUUGGCUAUCAAAGAUUUGAAUAAUAUAAUCCGGUUUGGAAAACCGGUUCCUGUGAAAUUGAAUCGUACUGCCGGUUUAAGAUACCUGUGCAGUAAGGGUGAUUGUCAUAUAUGGCGACUUAUCAUCCAAAGUCAAGCCGGGUUAAUCGAAACCACAUAUAUGCUUCAGAUAUGAACAAAAAGGCUCAAGACAAACCCAAAAGACUGUUUUCAAAAAACUUAAGCAAAAUAGAAAAAAAAUUGGGGCUUCUGAUUCGAAUUCGAUCAGUAAACCGGACCAAAGGGCUUAAGCUAGGAUUCAAAUACGAUCAUGUAGCCCCCAGUGGCUUUGGCGUUGCGCCGAUCAGGAGGGUACCGACAGCUGUGUUCUCUUUGGUUCGAAUAUGACCUAUGUUUGAACAGGAAGCCCCCAAAUAACAUUGAGAGGUUUUUAACGACCCUGAUUCGAAUACGAUCCAAGUCGGACCCAAAAGGGGUUAAGCUAUGAUUCGAAUACGAUCAAGAAGCCCCCUAGUGAGUUUGGCAUUGUGCCGAUCAAGAGGGUACCGACAACUAUGUUCUCUUUGGUUCGAAUACGACCUAUGUUUGAACAGGAAGCCCCCAAAUAACCUUGAGACUUUUUUAAUGACUCCGAUUCGAAUACGAUCAAAGUCAGACCCAAAAGGGGUUAGGCUAGAUUCAAAUACAAUCAGCCCCAAUGGUCUUUUGAAGCAGGGUACCUAUGUUUGAGUUGUGCCUUACAACAGACUCUCUUUGGUCCCUUUAUUUUUUUCUUGAGAACUCGAGCUUUGCGAGAGAUAAAUUCUUCUUGAACCGGAAUUUUUUCCAGACGGCCUUUAAACUGGCAACAUUUAUUGAGCUAUGUCCAUGUAGCCCUCGAGUCUUUAAGACGACUCAAUGAGUUGACUUGAGAUUCUCCACAGUUGACCGUGAUAUAGACCGGUUUGAGUCUGAUACGUCUCCAACGUAUCUAUAAUUUUUGAUUGUUCCAUGCUAUUAUAUUAUCUGUUUUGGAUGUUUAUGGGCUUUAUUAAACACUUUUAUAUUAUUUUUGGGACUAACCUAUUAACCCAGAGCCCAGUGCCAGUUUCUGUUUUUUUUCCUUAUUUUAGAGUAUUGCAGAAAAGGAAAAUCAAACGGAGUCCAAUUGACCUAAAACUUCACGAAACUUAUUUUUGAACCAGAAGAAGCCCACGGAUUAUCGGAGAUGCACCAGGAGAGUCCUGGGCUGCCCACGAGGGUGGGGGCGCGCCCACCCCCUGGGCGCGCCCCCUGCCUCGUGGACAGCCCGGAGGUCCACCGACGUACUUCUUCCUCCCAUAUAUACCCAUAUACCCUAAAAACUUCGGGGAGCACAAUAGAUCGGGAGUUCCGCCGCCAGAACCCUCCGUAGCCACUGAAAACCAAUCUAGACCUGUUCCGGCACCCUGCCGGAGGGGGAAUCCCUCUCCGGUGGCCAUCUUCAUCAUCCCGACUGAAAGGAUCGAUAUGGUUGACUAGAGGGGGGUGAAUAGGCAACUAACAAUUUUUAGCUUUUAUUUAACAAUUUAAACUUUGCAUCAAAGUAGGUUGUCUAGAUAUGCAACUAGGUGAGCAACCUAUAUGAUGCAACAAGGAUAGGAACACAAGCAAGCAAGAGAUAUGAUACAAAUAUGCUUGCACAAGUAAAGGCACGAGAUAACCAAGAGUGGAGACGGUGGAGACGAGGAUGUGUUGCCGAAGUUCCUUCCCUUUGAGAGGAAGUACGUCUCCGUUGGAGCGGUGUCGAGGCACAAUGCUUCCCAAGAAGCCACUAGGGCCACCGUAUUUUCCUCACGCCCUCACACAAUGCGAGAUGCCGUGAAUCCACUAUUGGUGCCCUUGGAGGUGGCGACCAAACCUUUACAAACAAGGUUCGGGCAAUCUCCACAACUCAAUUGGAGGCUCCCAACUACACCAUGAAGCUUCACCACAAUGGACUAUGGCUCCGCGGUGACCUCAACCAUCUGGGAUUCUCAAACACCCAAGAGUAACAAGAUCCGCAAGGGAUUAGUGGGGGGAAUCAAAUUUCUCUUGGUGUAAGUGUGGAUCGAGGCCUUCUCAACCACUCCCGAGCAAAUCAACAAGUUUGAUUGGCUAGGGACUGAGAUCGGGAGAAAAUGGAGCUUAGAGCAACAAUGGAGCUUGGGGUUGGAAGAGAUGAGUCAACGGGGAAGAAGGGGACCCCUUAUAUAGUGUAGGACAAAGAUCCAACCGUAACCACCUACCAGCCCGCGGCCAGCGGUACUACCGCUCCAGGCUAGCGGUACUACCGCAGGGCCGCGCGGUACUACCGCACGGUCAUGCGGUACUAUCGUACGGGCCCGCGGUACUGCCGCAAAACCAGCAACGGCAAGGUAAGAUCUGACGCGCAGGACCUGAGGGUGGUACUUCCGCGAGUGCGGUACUACCGCGCCGCCAUGCGGUACUACCGCAAGGCAGAAAACCCCUAGCCAGGGGGAGGAAACAACCGUGCCUACUUCUGCAAAGAAACGGAAGAAGCAAAAACCCGACACAGUAGUACUGCCGAGGGGCGGUACUACUGCCUGACAUCCUAACACGGUACUACCGCGGAGCGAAAGCGGUACUACCGCGGUAGGUGCGGAUGUAAAAAAUUACAUCCGCCCCUACUACCGCGAAGGAGCGGUACUAGCCUGGUGGCCAACGGUAGUGCAGCUCCAGGGGAGCGGUACUAUCGUGGGCACCUGCGGUACUACCGCGCCGCCGCACGGUACUACCGCCGGUGCCUAUGGUACUACCGCUCUCCUGGGAGCAGUACUACCACGAGCCAACUCAGCAGCCAGAGCCAGGAACGCGAGAAAGCGGAGGGGACAAGAAGGAGACGUGUACGUGAUGAUUCCACCCAAACCUUUCCGAUGCGGAACCCCUCUUAAUAGUACGGCUUUCCUACGACUCAAAUCCACCAAAAAGAAACGUAGAAAAGACGCCGUCUUCAACAGUCUUCGAGGGGCACCCAACCAUCUUGUGCCUAGCGAUGAAAUGUCUGGGAUACUCAAGGCACACAAUUAGUCCGCAAACGCGUUGUCAUCAAUCACCAAAACAUCUUAGGGAUAAAUAUGCCCUUACAAUCUCCCCCUUUUUGGUGGAUUGAUGACAAUACGGGAUUUGCACAAGGGAAAUAAUAUUAAGCAACCGCAAACCCCUCCUCUCUAGAAUAUAGACGGGCUCCCCCUAGAUGUGUGCCACCUAGAUGAGUGCUUUGGACUGCACAGCACAUAUACUAGGAUCAAAUCUCCCCCUAUAUUAUAGAGACAAGGCAUAAUUAGAAAUAGGAAGGUUAUCACUGGACAAGAUAGCACAAACUUAAAUCAACUAAGAUAGAUAGAGUUCAUAUGUCUUACACCAUAUGUAGGAUAGGUCUCGAAGGCACAAACCAAACAAAAGCAAACGAGGCAAACGAGGUUCAAACAACAAAGCGAACAAACACACCAAGCACGACACACGACACAACGCAAAUCCCUACACUCUCUCCCUCUUUGGCAUCGAGACGCCAAAAAGGCAGAGAGGACACCUACACACACGGGGUGACUCAGGCAGAGAAGUCGUCGCACUGCUCCUCGUGCUCCUCGUCAGACUCUGCGGCGGGGAUGGGCUCCUCGAUGUCUUCCUCUGAAAUGGUCCACUUGUACCCCUGCUUCAUCAUCCAGGCAGCCUCAGGCGUGAUGACGUCCUCAGAACCGCCAGACACAUCCUCUCCAAAGAGCCUCAUAACCUUCUUGUCACGGCGGUGACUCUCCUUGUCAGCCACGUGAGUCCUGUACUGUCCCUUUGCCUGCAUGCAGAAAAGAGUCUUCAUCUUGUCCUUUAACUUCUUGGCCCACGACGGCUCAGAGGAAGGUGUGGUAGACCGAGGAGCACGGUCCUCAGCAAUAUUUUCAGCAGCAGCCUCCUCCUCACCAACAGCCCUCCUAGCAGAAGAAGCCUCAGCACGGGUAGUGGUGUUGGCCCAGUUGGGCUUGACGCGGAGGCUGAUGGACUCAUGGCGAAUCCAGUCUGGAGCAAGGAACUCAUCGCCAGGGUACAUCUUCUUCCAAGCUGUGGAGAGAAAUAGAAACGGGUACGGUCCAUAGAUAGGUACCUUGCGAGUGAACACCGCAAACCGAAGCUCACACCACAUGAUGUGUGAGACAUCAAGUGGCUGAGUUUGAGAAGAACGUGUCUCUGCACAUAGAAGCAACAUGUCCACUAGAUAAGAAUGAACCUUGUCCUUGUCACCAAUACAUGGGAACAGAGUGUUGCGGAAGAUGCGAUGCAUGAUAUCCAGAAAGGAGUUCAGCACCCAAGUCGACUUGCCAUUGGGGAGCACCUUCUCAACAAGGAAUGGCUGAAGCAGGUUCUUGUUGGCAGACUCAGAGUUGGCGUGGGGGCGUACACCAACAGGGGUGUUAAGCCCGUCAUCAGGAAUGUGAAGCAGAUCCAUGAACUCCUUCCAUGUAGCAGACAUCUGACGGCCGUUGGCCAUCCAGGUCAUCCUCCGCUCAUCCCCGAGAUGAAAGUAAACUAAGGCAAUGAACUGACAGAUAAGCUCAGAGUCAUAGUCAAGGUGAAAGGAGAUCACCGGCUCAAUAGCAAACUGCUACACGAAGUCCAGAGCCUCUCCAAAAUAGUCACGAAACUUGUCCUUCCGCAUGUGAUUCAUGUCUAUCCACUUGACAUCCACGAAGGUGUUCUUCUUGUUCUUGAUCACAUCCAGAUAGAUGAGAGCCUAUUGCUUGGUCCAGAACAACUCAGUGCCUCUGAGGACAGCCCGAGGAUUCACAUAGGGAUUGUUUUUCCGGCGUUCGACAUACUCAGCGACUGGAAUCUCAUCCAUGCCCUUAGCAGGUUCCUUUUGCUUGCUGGCAGUGGUCUUGACAUUGCACUUGGGGGCAUUGGAGCCCUCUAGUGCUUCAUCUUGGGGAUUGCGCAGAUGCUUGGAGCCAGUGUCACGACUGGGAUUGGAACGGCGAGAGCCACCACCUAAGACACAAAGCGCAAAACACACACACGACAAGCAAGAAGGGUCAAUGCAAAGACCGCAACAAAGCAAAAGAAACAUGCAAAGAGCACACAAGAUAAUUGCCUAGAGAGAGAUUUGACCCCUACGGCAGUACUGCCAAGUGCUGCGGAACUAAGAUCCUAGUACCGCUCUUAGUCGCGGUAGUACCGUGUAAGGUCACGGUAGUACCGGGUCUAGGAGCGGUAGUAUGAGCUUAGUGCCUCAGCUAGCGCGGUAGUACCGCGUCUGAUGAGCGGUAGUACCGCACGAGCUAGCGCGGUAGUACCGCAAGUCGAUGGGAGGUAGUACCGCACGAGCGGUAGUACCGCACAUGAGACACGGUAGUACCGCACCGCGUCAGAUCCGAACAAGUUCAAAUCUGAGAAAAGCCCGCGAAACCGCGGCGGUUCUACGAGUGGACAAAUCUACCACAAGACAACAUAUCAAGUAUGAUUCCUACGCAACACGAUUCUCCUACAUCCUACUCUUGCAAAGAUUUGGCCUAAAAUCUCAAGAACAAUUAGCAUCUCCUCAAAAACCUAGAAGCGAGAGAACAACCAAGAAAAAGAGAGAUUUGGGGAAAACCCUUGGUCCAUGACAAGAGGAAGUGGUGGGGAACGAUCCCACCGGUCGAAAUCCGAAGAGAGUGGCCGGAGAUGGAGAUCCGGCGAGGACCUCCGGCGUCGUUCUUGAGCAAGAGAGAGAGAGAGACGUGGGGAGAGAGACGAGUGAAUGGGUAUGGGGAGUUGGAACUCCCCUGCCCGAGUCAUAACCCCCACGCUCACUCGACGGCGCGGUAGUACUGUGCCUCAUCGCGGUAGUACCGCUCGGCGGAAGUACCACACCUGAGCGGUAGUACCGUGGACUCAAGAAGAUGCACGUUUCAAGCAAACGAAAAACGGGGUCUUUGCACGAACACUCUGAGGCAACAAGACACCACAAGACCAUGCUACACACAAAGGCAGAAAGGCAAAUGACAAAACGAAACAACCACGAGACACCACCUCUCAAAAGAGGUGGCCGUAGCCACCUAUGUUUGAGUCAAUUGGUAUGGCACCGCGAAAAAUUAUCCUUGGGUCCAUGACCAAAACUCGUCUUUGAAGCACAAGUACCAUCAAACAUGGCUAAUGUGAAAGACUUGAUCAAUUUAUGCAUAAUGGGGGAAGGGAGAGUUCAUUUAGAGAACAACACUCCCCCUAUGUCCAUGCCUACAAUUAAACAAGACAACAAGUUGAGUAUGGUGAGGUGUGCAACGGUUCAAGCAACAUUGCUCGAAUCAAUGAUAUUUAGCACUAGAUGUUUCACGUGAUAUUAAAAAACUGUUUGAUCUUUCUUCAUGCAUCCGACCGCUAGCUGAAGUCUUCGGUCUUCUCGCGUGAGGCCUAAAUAACAUAGCACUAGAUGUUGACUUCGAUCUUCUUAUGGAAAUAAAUCACAGGCGAAGGAGCAGUAACAGCCAGGCGGUCAGGCACCCGCAUGACACUGCGUACACCCACAGCCACUGCAGGAAAAAAGGACAGGCCAGCUUAGAAAAAACCCGUGACGAGGCGGAGCAAUGCGAGAGGCGGACGGCGGCUCGGAGUGACUCGGAGUGCGGUGGCGACUUGGAAGACAGAGACCGCCGGAGGCAGCCUGGCAGUCGAGGCGCGGUUGGCGAGGCUCCGGUUCGGGUGAGGCGGCUUGGAACGAGGUCAAAGCAGAGUGGUGACUUAGAAGGCGACUCGGAAGCGUCCAAGGCGGGGCCACAUAGCAACCGGGGAUUGGGCGGCUCUAACGCGGCUAGUGCGGCGGCAGAGCCGGAUCAUGGCCAGAUCGAGGCCAGCUUGGAGUAGAGGGCCAUGGCGGCUGGGACGCAGGGGCCGACGUCGACUUUCCAUGCAGACGAGGCAGCGGUUUUGUACAGGCAGAUCCGGCCGGGCGGCUCGCGACUGUGGUGGCGACUCAAGGUGGCUUUGUGAGCUCGUGGUACGGCAAUAGCAGGUGACCCGCCGGUCAGGUCACGGCCGUAUCCGUUCCUGAGUCGUCGUCGUCGUCUCCACGUAUCCAUCAAAUCUCUGUGAGCAUGUAUGUAUACUAAUAUUCUGGUCGGCCUUGAGUAGAUCUCACGUAGAAUAAAAAAAGUAGAGUCAUAAGCACCGGACGCAGUGUACAGAAAUAAGGGCUUCUUUGAUUCAAAGGAAUUUUAUAGGAUUUCUGGAGGAUUGAAAUUUUUAGGAUUUUUUCCUAUGUUGGUCUUUUGAUUCAUAGGAUUAGAUUUCAUAGGAAUUUUUUCUAUAAAAUUUUUUAUAUUACAUUUCAUAGGAAAUUUAACAUCCACUUCAAUCUCUUUUUACAAUUUCUUUAUUUUUUCCGUGGCAUCAACCAAUCUCAUUGCUAAUUCUAUAGGAUUCAAAUGGGCUCUAAGACUUUUCCUAUUCCUGCGCUUUCAAAACCCUAUGAAUCAAAGAAGCCGUAAGACUAGUACUCUAAUACUUAGCGAGUAGUAGUGCCUGAUUCCCUCGGGGUUUAAGCCUGUAAUCUAGCAGCCGGAAUUUACGGAACUCAGUCGAUCGGGCAGCAGAUUUCUUUCUGUCGGACUCGAUCGAAAGUACGAUUUGACAGCUUGUAGGACUCGGUGUAGAAACGAAAAUCAAUCUCCUGUUGACGGAUCGUGUCGCGUCGCCGGCGGCGCACAGAACAUUAAACUUUAAUUAUUUUCAUCUCAAUCAGGUAAACUUGCACUUGAUGCAGAUCCUUCCAAACCGACUUAUCUUCAUCCGGUAAAUUGCAAACUUCUCGAUCCCUAAAAAAAAUCCCUCCAAAAACUCAACAUCACCGUGCGCAGGCCCCACGGUGGGCGCCAACUGUCGUGGAAUUAUCACAGCAGAUGUCCUAGUGUGAGAAUUUAGUCGUGAGUCAAACGCAUCUUUGUAGUAGCUUGAGAGGGAUUGAGCGGAAUCGAGAGACCCAACACAAGACAAGGAUUUAGACAGUUUCGGGCCCCGGGAAACAUCGUCCGGAAAUAGCCCUACAUGUUGUUUGUGGCUAGAUCUCAUUAUGCUCAUGAGAGAGUCGCCGCAUAAGCCGGCUCCCCCUUUGUGUCUAGCCCUAGAGAUUGUUUCUUGUUGCUUAUCCCUUUUUAGGGAGUCCUGCCCCUCCUUAUAUAAGUUGAAGGGGCGGGUUACAUGACUAGUCCUAAUAGGAUUAGGAUUACUCUAUUACAAGUGGAGUCCCUUAUGUCUUUCCUCGUAAGCCGGCCCACGAACCGGCAUACUGGGCCUUGAGCCUUGUCGUCCGUCUGAAGCACCCGCCGGGUCAUUAAUGAGUCUUCAGGCUCGUGAGUCGUCACACCAGUGAGCCGCCAGACACGUGAAUCGCCAAUUCUCGGACGCUUAACAAUGAAACAUCAAGUUCGGCCGGGUCAUAUAUCCGGCCAGGUCAUACCGCAGGAUAUACCCCCAACAGUUUGGAAAUGUCAUAUGGGGGUAUUUUGAGGGGGUGGGGGCAAUGCCCCCCACCCCCUCCCCGUGUCAAGAAUUUAUUUGGGAGGCAGGGGAAGCCCUCGUAAUGCUGGCAAUUGAUUGCACUGACAACUUUUUUGCUAUGCUGGACAAAGGGAAUAACGAGCAUGUCACAUGCCAAAUUCAGUGCGGUCACUAUCUAUACCCAACGGCAAGUCUAUUUCAAAGUCUCUGCAAAAAUUCUAGCCAAUUAGUGUUGAGCUAUCAAGGUUCAAACGAUUGCCUGUCGUCUAGCUUGACAAUGGUGAGUGAUUUUUGUGUACAUGUCUUGCCUCUUAGUUUUGUUAAGUUUUUUUCAUUUUGGCAUGUCAUUCCGAAUUUCUUAUGAUCAUCAUUUCUUACAAAUAACGAGUUCCAAUUUAAUAGCCAGUAAGCCUCUGGAUGGUUAGACGAGAGCGAUGGGCCGCUAGUUAAGCAAACUGUUCUUACCAUUUUUGCAAUUUAAUUUUCUCGUCUUACCAUUUUCACAAAACUGGCUGUCCCGAUUUGGUUUUUUCUGUUUUUUUUCUUAUUCUUUUUAUUUUCUAUUUGUUUUUCCUUUUGUCCCUUCGGAGAUUAUCUUUACUUUUCCAUUUUCUUCAUAAGUUCAAAUUUCUCAAAAAUUGUUCAGAAUUUUAAUUUUGUUAAUUUUUUGAAAGCUGUUCAGAAUUCCAAAUUGUGUUCUCAUUUAAAAAAAUAUUUUGAACAUUAAAGUUUUGUUCUCAUUCCAAAAGCAAUUCAGAAUUCAAAAAAUGUUCCACUUUUCAAAAAAAAAAUUGAUUUUCAAAAAAUGCAUUUUAAAAAAUAUUCCAAAUUCGAAAUAAAUUCAUGUUUUAGUGAAAUAUUCAUAAAUUCAAAAUAAUGUUCGCAUUUCAACAAAAACACAUUUUCUAAAAUUGUUCUGGUUCAAAACAUGUUCCCGUUUUCAAUAAUUGUUCAAAAAUUCAAAAACAAUCGUGCUUUUAUAAAAGGUUCAUGUUUUCAAAAAAAAUAUUGUUUUAAAUUUUGUUCUUGUUUUACCAAAAAAUGUACAGAAUUUUUAAAAACUAUUUCAUAAUUUAAAAAAUUGUUCACGUUUGCAAGAAUAUUUGGCAAUUCAUAAUCAUAAUAAUUAUUUGACAAGUUCAAAAAAAUCAAAAAAAUGAUUCGAAUCUGACAUUGUACUAUGUUCUUAAUUAUUCGCGCGAGUUGCUAGGGACACUCGAACAUGAAAAAGCAAAAGUAAUUGCUUUGUCGCCCAGGUUGUAGUAGGCAUCAGCCGCACUCCCCUACCGGGCCUGCCCUGCAUCCAACCCAUCAAUCCUCACCAUCACCUCAAAAAAAAAAACAAUCCUCACCAAGGGAGGCAAAAAUAGUUUGUGGCUGUGUAAGGAAUCAUAUUUGCGACGUCUCAUCCAUUUCCUCACGAGGAUGCCAACUGAUCUUGAUCGGCUUUAUUACAUAAAAACGGCUUGUUCUCCUAUUAAAUAUACGUAAAGAUCUUGUUUCGUUAGUUUCACAUGUAGUUUCUGAAAAAAAAAACAUUUGUCCCCCGGCUGAGCCGAACUUGGCCUACCACAUAUUUCUUUUUCUGUCGGACGGACGGGAAGCAAAAAUAUAUCCCUAGGUUUCUUGGAAAUAAGGCUGUUGUUUGGAAAUAAGAAAGUUAUCUCGAGAAUCAUGAGCAGAAUGAGGGACUUCAUAAAGUUUUGCCGGUGGUAGCUUGCACGUACCAAUAAAAGAGAAUGUGGUGGUUGGCUAUAAUUGAAAGAAAUUGUUAACACAUGCCAAUAAAAGAGAAUAUGCUGGUUUGGCUCUAACUAAGAAAAACUAUGGGCAUGUGAGCUCUAAAAUAAAGAACAUAAAUCAGAUGAAGAAGGGACAUUCAUGUCUGGUUAUGCGCUGAUUAUGCUAAUGAAAUAGGAUUUAUGCACUGCAAAUUGUAAUCCGUCCGAUUAUGCCGUCGUAGGAGGGAGUGAUCGAAGCAACCGUGCCUCGAAGGUUGUCGCGCAGCCACCAAAUGCGGAGGCAGCUGCAACCGAAAGACGGAGGUAGGCCCGAAGGAAAAAAGGGCACUAGUUGGGUAGUCGCUGCCACAUUGACCAAUCCCACCACUCUCAAAAUCUCACGGGCCAAACAUGACCCAAGAGAAGACCGCAACUCUUCGCUAUGUUGCCUACCACUGUGGAGGCUAUUUUUGAUGGACACAUAAAUUAUCUCUUUUGUUGCUUCUCAUAAAAAUAUCUGUCCCAUUGCAACGCACGGGCAUACGUGCUAAUACCUAUACUAAUAAAGGGAGGUGCACUUUUUUAUUGUUUUGAUCCGUUCACGCAUAUUAUUUAUAUUCUUAAAAAAAAUUAUCCGAGGAGAUACUAUUUUUUUUCUGCUACAAAAGCAAAAAAAAAUUCGAGGGAGGCAUCUAGGCUGAGUUGGGCCUCUUGUGCACAUUGCCGAGGCACAAAAAAUUAUGUGAAAGAAAAAGGACGGAAAUCCUAUUUGACACUCUCUGCAUCAAGUGAUCGACCAAUCGCACAGACGCGUGAUCAACUGGGCCGGCCCAGCUCCGUUGUACCUAUACUGGGCAGUUCGGUUCCCAGCCAGUUUUAAGAACAUUCUAGAAAGUCCAUAAACAUGUUUUUUAAUUUACUUAUUUUCCUCUUUCAGUUUUUACUCUUUCUUUUUUUGUCUAUAUGUUUCUAUUUUACUUUAUUUUAUAUUUUAUGUUUUAUGUUAUAAGUUUCUAUUUUAUAUGUUUUUAUUUUAUUUUAUAUUUUUUGUUUUAUAUGUUUCUAUUUUAUUUUAUUUUAUUUUAUGCUUGUCAAUCACAAAUAUUAUUUUAAAUCCAAUAAAAUUCCUGUUUUUAAAACUAUUUACACUUUCCAAAAAUUGUUCGUGUUUUCAGUUUUUUUUCAUAAUAUCAAAAAUCAUAUAUUUGAAUACCUUAUUCACAAAUUCAAAAGCUUUCACAUUUAGAGAAUGUUAUCGAGAAUUUAAAAAAUGUUCCUGUUUAAAAAAAUCAUAUAUUUUAAAAUAUUUCGGCUUUUGAAAAUUGUUUACCAAAUUUAAAAAUGUUCUCGUUUUCCUGGAAUUUGUUUGUUUUUAAAAAGAAAUCAUAUAAUCGAAAAUGUUUCUAUUGUGAAAUUUUGUUCACAUAUUCAAUAAUUUCUCAUGAUUUUAAUGAAAAAUCAUAGUUUGGAAAAACUUUCGCAUUUUCAAUAUGGUUCACAAUUUCUAAAAUUAUUCCCAUUUUUUAAAAAUUGUUCACAAAUUCGAAAAAUGUUCCAAUUUCUAAAAAAAUCGAAAAUGUUAAAUUUCUUCCAUAAAAUAUUAACUUCUCCCAAAAAAGUCCUGUUUGAAUUUUCAAAAAAUGUAUGAUUGAAUACUUCUGAUAGUUAUUAAAACCCUGCGCUACAUAUUAAACUGUAAAUCUGUUUAGCUCUGCUGGUUAGCCCACUUGUUUUAUGUGUGCAUGUGGGCGAAUCUAAGAGAGCACAUGAUUUUUUUUUUAAUUUUGCACUGUGUGUUGUCGCUGUUGGGCCAGCCCAAUUCGCUGCCUCUGUGUGCAUCGUGCGGCUACUUUGUGUGCGAAAUUGCACUUGAUCCUCCGAUUAAAUAACGGAAAUGUUAACGCCCACACAUGUGGGCGUUGACCAUCUCGACCACACGCAUUCAUCAUCGUUCAGUACUAUAUGCACGAAUCUUGAUAUAAUCUGGCUGAUUUUCUGUGCCAAGUAGGACAAGGCAUGUGUGUGGUGUGUGACAUAGUUCGCCCACACAUUCGUUUUACCACACAGAGGGGCCGGUGUGUGGGCGUUUAGCAGUUCACCCACACACCAGUUUUCAGUCACGCACAAGGACUGGUGUGUGGCAUUUGCCAUCUCGCCCACACGCCCGUCUCCUCUCCUACACGUAAGCUGCUAGUUGUCAUGUGUUUUUGCAGCGCACAUGGCAACUGCCUCUAGUGUGCUUUAUAAGCAGGUGGCAACUCUCUUUUUUUACUCGAAUUGUCAUGUGUUUUUGCAGGGUACACGGCAACUGCCUAGUGUGCACGUAAGCAGAUGGCAACUGUCUUUUACCGAGUUGCCAUGUGUUUUUGCAUGGUACGUGGCAACUGCCCCAACGUGCAUGUACAUGGCAACUGCCCUAACGUGCACGUAAGCAGAUGGCAACUCUUCCUUUUUACAUGGCAACUGCCCUAGCAUGCUUGUGAGCACAUGGCAACUCUCUCAACUACCUAGUGUUAGUAUGUGGCAACUCCUAAAGUUAUGAAAUCAUGGCAACUAUAUUAGAUCAGACCAUACAUGGCAACUGCAGUUGAGCAACCAUGGCAACUGCAGUUGUCCGACAUGGCAACCGUAGUUCAGCGACAUGGCAACUGCAGAUAAACGAACAUGGACGAGGGUCUGGACCAUGGCAACUGCGGGCGCGUGGUGGGCGUCACGCAUCGCGUGCGGGACCAGAAGGGUAUGAGGCCUGACAUACGGGCGUGUGAGCGUUAUCAAUUUCGCCCACACGCACGCGUGUGAGAGGGUUCAGGAGGGAAAAAAGAUGUGUGUGAGCAUUAGUUGUUUUGCCCACACGUAGGUAUGUGGACUGGUUGCUGUCCAUGCCACACGAGGCGUGUGGCACAACUACCCGAUACACCACACGUGUGGCAGUUAUCGGGACCCUUAAAUAAUAGCACCUCGCCCUUUUCCAACCCCUAAAAAAACUCGCCCUUUUCUGGCCAACCCCACCAAUUUAUAUACGUCUUCUGUUACUUGGAUACCAUCAACUCAAUAAGCUGACUUGGAACGCAAUGAACACAGGCUAACGAAGGAAAAGAAUGUGUCAAAUAAGGACACAUAAUUGUGGGCGUGCUCGCGGGUGUUUGAGGGGUCGGAUUUGCCAAGUCCGACCGUAGAUGCUCUUAGAUAGAUGAUCCAUAGCCGGUGGUUUGCACUUUAACACCCCGAUCCACCAAAUGCAUAGCUUUUCCCUUUGUGUUGGUGUCCAUCUGUCAUUGGCGCCAAGUAGACGAAUGGGACUACAAAUUAAUAGGGCCCAAGGUGAGCACACACCACAACCAACUACACAAGCAAAAAUAUAUCCAUACACUAAACUAAAGAGUUCGACCGACUAGCCAAUCAUGUCAUGCACAAAGAGGUGCAUUGCUACCAUCAUGGCACCGACGAUGUUGUUGGCGCUUCAAGGAACUGUUGACAUUGGCCAAGUGGCGGAGCUAGCGGUUACGCACACUGGGUUGUUGCCCAACCAUAAUGUUGAGAUGUUUUUACUAUGUACUAAUUAGCAAUUUGGCGCAAAAGGACUGUCCAAGGCCUACCGGCUCAGUCGAGUAGGUCUCUUCCUCCCAGUCUAUGUCGCGUGAGAAUCAGAAAAGAGAGCGAGCGGCCCACGCACGGUUGUGCCACUGUGCUGCCACGCCGCCUCUCCCCAGCGACUAGUUCUGGCCCUCCCACACCAUCGGUACAAAGCUUGAAUAACUUAUUCACUUAUAUGCUUGAGGUUUCUUUUGAGCCAAGGAUUGGCAUUUCGUGGACAUGACGAGAGUGAACAAUCUAGAAAUAGGGGAAACUUUCUUGAACUUCUAAAAUGGCUUUGAGAAAAUGAUGAAGUUAAUAAUGUUGUUAUGAACAAUUCUCCUAAAAAUUGCAUCUUGACUAAUCCAACAAUACAAAAUUAUUGAAUGUUGUGCGCUACAAACUACAAAACAAAUUAUUGAAGAUCUUGGUAAUGACCGCUGCAAUCCUAGCUGAUGAGUCUAGUGACGUAUCUCACAGAGAGCAACUUGCUUUUUGCAUAUGUUAUGUUGAUAAAGUUGGAAAGAGAUGUGAGAGGUUCCUUAGAGUUGUUCAUGUUGCCAACACAACUUUAUUGUCACUUAUGGCUGCAACUGAAUCUUUGAUAAUCGUUCAUCAUUUGACUCUUACUCAAAUCCGUGGACAAGGAUAUGACGGGGCUAGCAAAGAUGAAUAGGGAGAUUAAAGGGUUGAAAACAUUGAUCAUGAAAGAUUAGGCCCCGACUUAUUACAUUUGAUGUUUUGCACAUGAACUUUGGUUGGUUCUUGUCGCUAUGGCAAAUAGAAAUGAACCGCGUGGGUAUUUUUUAAUCAUGUUUCUUACUUUCUCCAUAUUAUUGGAGUUUCUUGUUAGCAACAUGACAUGCUUCGAGAUGUUAGAGCUCAAAAGUUCUGGGAAGCACAUGAAAUGGGUGAAAUUGAAAGUUGAAGUUCAUUAAAUCAAGAUAUGGGAUCAGCUAGACUCGGUGAUACUCGAUGGGGUUCUCAUAUUAGGACUAUUUUGUGCUUUAUUAGCAUGUAUACCACAAUCCUUGAAGUACUCGAUACUAUUGAGAAAGAUCCUUCACAAAAAAGUGAGUGGGCAAUAAUACAUGGAUGGCUUUUGCCUUGGAGUCAUCUGACUUGGUUUUCAUUCUUCACUUGAUGCUUGUUAUUCUUGGCUACACAAUUGAGUUGUCUCAAUCACAUCAAAAGUGAGAUCAAGAUAUUAUUAAUGCAAUAUGACUCGUUAGGUUAGCAAAGAGUAGAAUGCGACACAUGCGGUCUCAUGGAUGGGAAGAAUUUCUUGCAAAGGUGACAUUGCUUUGCAAUAAGCAUGGCAUUCAAGUUCCUCCAUCAGAGGAUAUGUGCCUCAUGGAAGAUCAUGUUGAUAUAUUAUGAAGUACAAACAAAUGAUGAAAGUUAUAGAAGAGAAGUAUGUCUUGAUAUCAUUGAUCAAAUCAUUCAAAAGCUUCACAAUAGGUUUGAUGAAGGUAAUAUGGAGUUGCAUAUUUGCAUGUGUGCUUUGAAUCCCAUCAAUUCAUUUACUUAAGAUGCACUCAAGGUAAUGAAACUUAUUCAAUUCUACCCCAAGGACAUAUUAAGCAUCAUUUGGUAAAGCUUGAAUUCCAACUUGCUACUUUUAUUGAUGAUAUGAGACAAGAUUAUAGGUUCAAAUCCAUGUGUAGUAUUGGCGAUCUCUAUUAUGCUUGAUUGAAGAAAAAAAACAUGUUCUCUAUAAUUUGGUCUACUUGCUUAUGAAAUUGGUAUUGAUCUUACCGGUGGUCACCACAAGUGUUAAAAGAGUCUUUUCGGCAAUGAAUUUAGUGAAAAACAAGUUGAGAAAUAGUAUGGGUGAUGACCUUGUGAACUAUUGCUUACUGGCACUCAUUGAGUGAUAUGUGUUGAGGAUGGCAUAGUUGAAGCUUUCAUGGCAAAGGAACAUUGUAGAGUUACUUAGUGUUGCAUUUUCUAUGUUGUAAAUCUGAAAUAUUUUGUGAACUAUAAUGUUGUGUGAUUUGAUUCAGCUAUUUGUGUUUUUUCCUCGAAUAUUGUAUGACACUUGGACUAGGUAGAAUUUUUUUUAUGUGUGCACACCCUCAGUUUAUUUCCGGGCUCCACCACCAAUUUCGAUUCUUAUAUAUCCGUAGUUGGGAAGAACAACGGUUGUGAAGAUGACUAUUCAACCAAAUGCAUUUUUUUGGGCAUGCACACACUCGCAACUUUGCGAGCCUCCUGGCACGUACAUUCUUCUACAAACGAUUAUAUAUAAAAGUAGAGGUAUAAAUGAUGCAACCACUUCCUCAUCUGAAAAUAUAUUUAAAUGGAGAAAAUUAUUCUUCAUCAUCUGAUGUCAUAUGCAGUCUCUAGGUAGAGCACUCGUACAUUCUCCUACAAACAUUUGUUAAUGAUAACAACUACUACAUAAUAUGUAGCCAUAAUUGGUGUUUUUAUUAUUAUAUGAUGGCAUGGCGUCUUUAUAAGUGUUGUUUGAGAUAACAAAAGAGAGGCAUUUCUACGAAGGUGAAGAUAGCGAGCUAGCACAUAUCUUGAUGCAAAAUUAGACGGCCCACAUAGGCAUGGCUUGCAUGGGAGCUUAGAAAAUCUACUAUUUAUUCCCCUUGUACAAAACUACGGAAACAAUUACAAAUAAGAUAUGUCGGGGCAGCUCAUAUAACAGUUGGAGCAAAGUUCCAAUUUCAGUGCACAUCAGAAUCACAACACUGUAUUUGCAGCUCCUAGCAUUGGCCAUUCAU
Molecule: long non-coding RNA, 28929 nt
Filed under: Triticum aestivum (bread wheat)
Lineage: Eukaryota; Viridiplantae; Streptophyta; Magnoliopsida; Poales; Poaceae
Description: long non-coding RNA (TAES_LNC015455)
Source: RNAcentral